AGGAACUCAAUCAAGAACGGACAGUAAACAAAUCAUAACAUCUCGACGAACUCGCGGAAUUUGCACGGUAAGACGAUAUAUUCGAUUACACGACUGGGCUCAUGGAGCUACAAGGUAACUAGAGAGAUUCUGCGAUAGACAGAUGGGAGAACAGGUGACAUUGUUCCGGCUACAGCUACUGAACAUAAGACAUGGCAGACUUCUCCCGUCUGCGGCCACAGCGGGGCAGAGUUGCUGACGAAGGGGGGCGCCUAUCCGCCGAAGCCGUAGAGGGUGCGGCCCUGGCGCUUGAGCGCGUAGACGACGUCCAUGGCGGUGACGGUCUUGCGGCGGGCGUGCUCCGUGUAGGUGACGGCGUCGCGGAUGACGUUCUCGAGGAAGAUCUUGAGCACGCCGCGGGUCUCCUCGUAGAUGAGCCCCGAGAUGCGCUUCACGCCGCCCCUCCGAGCGAGGCGCCGGAUCGCCGGCUUGGUGAUGCCCUGGAUGUUGUCGCGGAGCACCUUCCGGUGGCGCUUGGCGCCGCCCUUGCCCAGCCCCUUGCCUCCCUUGCCGCGCCCGGACAUGGUCGCUGACGAACUCGCCUUGGUUCGAGUUGAGAGAGCGGAUGGAGGUCGAGGAGCGGUGGUGGCUUGCGGUGUUGCGAUUUGGGGGGAGCGGGGAGGGGGAUUAAAAGGGGCGGGAGGAAGGCGACGCGUGAGCACGGAAUUGGGGAGGUCGAGACCGCGAUCCGGGUGUGGAUGCCGCGGAUCCGUGACGUGGCGGGAGGCUUGGCGCGGUAGAUUGGCGGGGUGCGCCGCCUGAAAAUUCGUGAGGCGCCAGCUCGAAACCUUUCCGCGCGUUGCCCCGCUGUCUGCCUGUCUGUGCGUUUCCUUAGGUGCGAAUUCAGUUUCGCUCUGCGGUGCUCGUGCGCGACGGCUCGAAAAAUGGAACGGCAACGGAGCGUGUCUAGCAGUGGCUCUUAGCAGCAGAUUGUCGAUGACAUUUUCAGAAAAUCACGGUGAUUAGAUUGGAUCAGUGAAGGAUUUAAUAAAAAUCGUUGGUGUCAAGGGGCUCCAAGUAGAUACAGAGGAUUCAGGCUCUAACCACGGUUCACAAAAAGUGGAUCAUCAUUGGUGCUCUGUUUCUUCCGAGCGAUCAUGAUCUCCGAGAAACACUAGAGUUUAGAGAAGGAAAUGGAUGUGAAGUCACACCCUGAUGACGGAUUAGAAACGAAUAAAUACACACUGUCAGACAUAAUUUAAACUUGUAAAGGGCGUACAUAAAAACACGGAAUUGUCAUUUAUAUGAGAACACGACGACUCUGGUGCUCACUUCACUCUAUAACAGUAACCUGGGCUGUUGUAUUGAGUGCCUUGAAAAGCAUGGUUGCUCUACUCUGUACCGGACUGGGAUACUACGAAUCGGGUAGAUGCAGCACCAGAGCUUUUCACUGGACUUGUCGUUUCUGUUCUGCUUCAGUAAUCUUUCUGCCCAUACUUGAUAGAGAUUUUUCCAUUCUUUUUCAUACCAGUGUACAUGUAUAUUUUUAGCUGGAGAGCCAGUUUUUGGUUGUGCUAGUCUUGCAAAAUGGGAGGGUCUUUUGUCGUCUAAACUCCUUCUGUGUCCGUCCCUUUAGAGCUUUUGCGAUAUUAUGUCGCCUUCUUGUAUCAGGUGUUCAGUUUCAUAAAAGAAACAUCUUGAAUCCAGAGGAAAUGGUGCAAAUAAAUCCAGAGGAAAUGGUGCUCUUGGAUUUAACUAAACGAUAACCUGAUUUGCCCUGCCAAUCUGUUCAUCUGUACUGCGGGUCAAGGAUCGAUGACAGAUCAAACUAAAGAAAAGUAUCUGAAAUGUGCCACGUCGCUACGUAAAAAAAGAGAGGAACGCAGACAAGGGAUGCAGGUUUCAGUUCGAACGGAUGCCAACAUCUUCAUUACAUAAUUUCAUGAUUCAGUUAACCAUACAGAGGAAAUGGGGAAACAAGGCGGUUUCCAUCUGAGAUUUCUUGAGCGCAACACUACUAGGAACGGGCGGACUAACACAUCGGAAUCUGCAGGCGGCGACGAAGACUGACGACCAUCUGGCGGGGGCCAGCGGCCUAGCCGCCGAAGCCGUAGAGGGUGCGGCCCUGGCGCUUGAGGGCGUAGACGACGUCCAUGGCGGUGACGGUCUUGCGGCGGGCGUGCUCGGUGUAG
Molecule: long non-coding RNA, 2171 nt
Filed under: Triticum aestivum (bread wheat)
Lineage: Eukaryota; Viridiplantae; Streptophyta; Magnoliopsida; Poales; Poaceae
Description: long non-coding RNA (TAES_LNC024363)
Source: RNAcentral